This 27-nucleotide non-coding RNA is filed under the name Mus musculus (house mouse). The record is from RNAcentral. Lineage: Eukaryota; Metazoa; Chordata; Mammalia; Rodentia; Muridae.
AUUUGCUUCUGUUCUUUGCUGUAGAGU